UUCAAGGAAAACAAUUUAGGAUACCAGACUAUUUACAAUUCCAGCCUCAUUUCCCAAAUAUUAUUCCUGACAGAACAGGGUAAUACAUAGUACAGAUAUCCCAGAAUGUACGCGGUAUUCAUUACCCAGCUCAAUCUCUUCGGUAUAAACCCACCACGAGAGUCUCAACUAAACAAAUAAGCAGAAGAAUCAACAGGUACUAUGUGCCAACAAUCAAGGAAACAACUAUGAAAGCUAAGGCGACAUCCUUCGCCAUCGUCAGCACAUUUGACUGCCAAGACGAAACGGUUCAACUACCUUGCCGACGGCCUGGGUGGCCGGGCUUGUGGCUGCUGGCCCGGAGGCGAAGGGAUAUGGCUCUGAGAAUGCUGUAACAUCUGAACCAUGGAUGGCGUCUGAUAAGAGUGAACAAUGGUGCUGCUCUCUGUCGAGUCUCCGCGCGUCGUCGCUCGCUGCCAGGAAUGCGAACUCAGUCCAGAUAGCAUGUAAGCCCUCCCUGAAGCUUCAUAUAGCUGGCGACUUGCCAUCCUCUCCUGCAUCUCCCUCAGCUCUGCGUCAAGGGCCAAGGACAGACGGUCCCCGCUCCUGCUUGCAAAGGACUCUGAUAAUCUCCUCCGGCAGUCCUCCAGAAUGGUCACAGCCUCAGCGAGAGCACCCCUCUCAGCAGCAGCCCUCGCAGAUUCAAUAGAAUCAGCGGCCUGUAUGCGGUUCCGCUCACGAUCAACCUCAAUGGAUACAUGUUCAGAUAUGGUGGAUGUCGGCCUGUUGAUCUUCACCUCAUCAACUUCAAGCUUGACAGUCUCAUUUGUUAGAUCCCUGUAAGAACAAGCAACCUUUAACAGUGAGGUCUGUUCGCGACACUGCGGGAUGUUCACUGACAGCAAAAUGUCCCUCUCCUCAUCAGCAUACAGAUGACCAAUAUCAACUGAACAGCUCCGCCCAUCCCUUGCCAUCAUGCUUGGGUAGCUACCAGAUUUGAUGGAACAGAGUUGAACACCAGGAUGAACACAUUCCAUGUUGAGUCGCAUCUCCUGUACCACAACACUAAGAAGCCC
RNAcentral lists this long non-coding RNA (1055 nucleotides) under Triticum aestivum (bread wheat). Its description in RNAcentral is "long non-coding RNA (TAES_LNC022807)". The record is from RNAcentral. Lineage: Eukaryota; Viridiplantae; Streptophyta; Magnoliopsida; Poales; Poaceae.